Molecule: ribosomal RNA, 4150 nt
Filed under: Triticum aestivum (bread wheat)
Lineage: Eukaryota; Viridiplantae; Streptophyta; Magnoliopsida; Poales; Poaceae
Description: partial small subunit ribosomal RNA
Source: RNAcentral
UACGCUCCAAGCAGAAUACUGAAGCAGGGCUGCACAGAGACCACACGAAUAAUAUCGAAGUGAUUGCGUGUGGGGCCCAUGAACACUGAAAGUGAUCGAAUGUGCACGCAGAGAUGGUGCUUUCAGACAAUGCAGCUUGAUGGAAAAUAAUUGAGCUUCAAUCGCAAGCACAAUAAUAAUAGCAUUGACUUGACUUGCAGGCUCUUUGGCUGGUUCUUGAUGGCUUCAACAACAAGACUAACGUUCCCCCCUCAGUCAUGACAGUCUUUUGAUGAUUUCAGAUUCUGAAGCGCACAAGAAGGUCGCUGGAUCUGCAUCGAUUUUAAGCCAGGUGGGUGGUUGUUCUCUGGUUUUGGUGGGUAAAAGGAACGACGAUACCUCAAGUUGAAGAUCAAAUCCAGCUGUUUGUCAUCAACAGCAGGCUAGCACACUCAAUCAUACCCAUAACCCACGAGUUGAUGAAAGUUUAGGAUCUCCACGAGUAAGUUUCAAUGACAACAAGACCAGCCAAGCCAUGAGGCUCAGAAAUUCAAGAAUCCAUGAGAUUGUUGUGAUGGUGUCAGCUUCAGGAACGCACGAGGAGGUCACCAAGAUCGAUCUGAUGCCGGCUUCUUGAUUUGUGACGACAGUGGCCAUUCUAAUGAUACCGAGGAAAAUAUACAAGUAGGCUACCACCCAACAGACAGAUAUUAGUAAUUCUCAGAAAAUAAUGGCGGAGAUUGUGAAUUCUUCUAGCCAUUAAAAAGAUCGGAAAUGCCUUGGCAAAUGGAGUGGCAGACCAGGUGAGCAUGCAGUUUGCGAAGUACGGGAAGCAAAAAGUAGAGCUACAGGGCAGCAUGGGUCGUGUUGCAAGGGAGCUUCGCGUCAUGCUUGAUGUUGUUUGUCAGAUGGACAUUCAAAACAGCAGCAAUCAAGUAUACGAGGGCUGGUUGGAGGAAGUACGGAAGGUAGCACAUGUGAUGGAAGACAUAGUGGAUGAGUACUUGUAUCUAAUUGAUCAGGAACAUGAUAUAGAGUUUUGCUUUUACCUGAAGCAAGGGGUCAGAAAACCAGGAUCUCUGCUUUAUUUGAACCAGAUAGCUUUCAAGGCGAAGGAAAUAGAGAAAGACCUUGCACACCUGUCAGAGAUAAAAAAUCGUUGGGUCCCCAUGAUACAGAACGGGGAUACUAGCAGCUCGAAUUACAUUGUCAAGAGGUCCCAAGAUCUAGCAAACAUUUCACGUUCCCUUGAUGAAGAAGAUUUAGUGGGGGUGGAUAGAAACAGAGAGACACUUGAGCAGUGGUUGGCUGGUGCUGAUUUGCAGUGCUCCGUGAUAGCACUGCUUGGAAUGGGAGGACUUGGUAAAACAACUUUAACUGCAAAUGUCUAUAGGAAGGAGAGAGGGCAAUUCCAGUGCCAUGCGUGGGUCUCCAUUUCUCAAACUUAUUCUAGAGAAGAUGUCCUGAGGAAUACAAUCAAGGAACUUUUCAAAGAUAACGCCAGUGUUCUGUCUAACACUGCGGCGAUGGACAUCACAUGCCUUGAAGAGACACUGAAAAGAUUUCUGGAGCAACAUAAAUAUUUGAUCGUAUGGAUGAUGUUUGGACUCCACAAGCAUUUGAUGACUUGUCUAGAGUGCUUAUUCAUGAUGACAAGGGCAGCAGACUGAUAAUUACAACAAGGGAAGGUGAUGUUGCUGCACUUGCCUCUCCAGGACAUAUCUUAAAGCUCGAAGCUUUACCAGAAGACAAGGCAUGUGAUCUCUUUCAUAAGAAAGCCUUUCCAACAGAUAAAAAUCAUGAAUGUCCUGUGGAGUUGAAGUCUCUGUCCUACGAAAUAGUUAGCAAGUGCAAAGGCUUGCCUCUCAUUAUUGUGUCAGUUGGUAACCUCUUGCGUGUGCGUGAGAAAACUGUGGAAGAAUGGAGAAGAAUAAAUGACCAACCGAGUUGGGAGUUAAUUAAUAACUUGAGGCUCGAUCACAUAAGGAAUGUUUUGCAUCUGAGCUUCAUCUAUCUUCCAGCAUGCUUGGAAAGUUGUUUCCUAUACUGCAGUUUAUUUCCAGAAGACUAUCUUUUCAAAAGGAAACAACUUGUACGGUUAUGGAUAGCAGAGGGAUUCAUUGAGGAGAGGGGUGAAAGCACAUUAGAAGAAGUGGCAGAAGGCUAUCUGCAGGAGUUAAUUGAUAGAAACAUGCUACAACUUGUUAAAAGGAACUCAUUUGGUAGGAGAAGGAAUUCAGAAUGCAUGAUAUCUUACGAGAAUUGGCUGUUGAUUUGUGUCAAAAGGAUUGUUUUGGUGUUACAUAUGAGGAUAAAUGUGUGGGUUCUCUUGAGAUGGAUGGGCGUCGAUUGGUAAUGCAUAAGCUAAAGAAGGAUAUUCAGCACUCGUUUUCUAGUAUACACCAACUUCGAACCGUCAUUGUAGUGGAUGAUAACAUGCCAUCAUUCACUCUACUACCUCUGUUAUGUAAGAAGUCAAGAUAUAUGACAGUGCUAGAAUUAAGUGGCUUACCCAUUGAGAAGAUUCCAGAUGCUAUUGGAGAUCUUUUUAGUCUCCGCCAUUUAGGUUUGCGUAAUUCAAAAGUGAAGAUGCUCCCGAGGUCUAUUGAAAAGCUUUCAAAUUUGUUGACACUGGACCUUUAUAGAUCAGAUAUACAUUAUUUGCCUAGUGGGGUUGUCAAACUGAAGAAGUUUAGGCACUUAUUUGCUGAGAAAAUGAAUUAUCUAGAUUGGAGGGAUAUUCAUUCUCACAGUGGUAUGACUAUCCCCAUUGGUCUUGGGAAUCUAACAAACCUGCAAACCUUACGAACAAUGGAAGUGCGGGGUGAGUCAGUUAGACAUUUGGGGGAGCUGAGGCAACUGAGAAGCUUGAGGUUAUCAAAUGUAAAGGGAAUCUACUGUGGACGCAUCCGUGAGUCUCUAGUUCAGAUGCAAUAUUUGUCCAAGCUAUCUGUGAAUGCAAGUGAUGAGAACGAGGUUCUCUUGUUGAACGUCCUCCCGCCAAAUCUGCAAACGCUAUCGUUGAGAGGACGAUUAGAGCAAGGGUCGUUGGAGGAGUCUCCUCCCUUCCAAUCUGAUGGAGGACAAAACGUGUGUGCAUUGGCUCUGUCUUGGUCACAACUGAGAAAAGACCCACUGCCAUCGCUUUCUUUGUUGUCGAACUUGACACUUCUACACUUCACCAGAGCAUACAACGGAGAGCAGCUGACAUUUCUCACGGGGUGGUUUCACAAGCUAAAGAUUCUCUUUCUAAGAGACCUGCCUAAUCUGAACCAGCUAGAGAUACAGCAAGGUGCCAUGGCGGGCCUGGAAAGAUUAUCCCUAGUCAACCUCAACAGCAUGACGGAGGUCCCACCUGGCAUCGAGUUCCUCGUGUCCCUUCAGUAUCUGGUCUUCCACGAAAUCACCGGUGACUUCUUGACGUUGCUGCGCCAAUGCUCUGCGAUUCGAGGGAAGCAGUGGCAUCAUACUCUCCAGCUUUGACCUGCCGCACUGGUCGGGAAAUGUGUACAUAAGUCACCCGCCCGAAGGAAGAUGCUUUAAAAUUUGGGCCGCGUGAAGAUAUGGCGUCAAUUAAUCUCAAGAUGAGUAUAUGCAGCGUCUCUGUACGUUCGUGCUACACCUGAUGUGCACACCGUCUGGGUUUCCUCUACCUUUUCAAGACGUACUACUGAUACUACUGCCUGAUGGGCUCACUGUUUGCUACCACUACUGCCUGUGUUUACUACUGCUAGAACUACUGUUCGUGACUUCGUGUGAUUGCUUGUGAGGUGUGAUAAUAUUGAUUUGGGCUGUGCCUUGGCUUUUAAGUAACACGACACUUACCGUAAGACCGUGAGUGAGUUGUGUUUUAAUAAUCGCACUAAUUUUUGCAGUACAUGAUUGAAUUUCAUACUUCCAUUUGAUAUGAUAUCGCCUAUUAAUUCCAGCCGUAUCUGUAAAAUAAUACAAUUUGGUUUUAGGCAGAAGGCUCAAGGAGAGCCCGGCACAAUUUGGUUAGUGAUUCAUAACGCUGAGACAUGCAUUUUCACUGCCAUAUGGUUACUGGCUUUAAUUAGUUAUUGUUGUUGUAACUUGCUGCUGAUGGGUGGAUCCUUGAAAUGGUAUCAACACAUGUGCCUGUUUUCUAACUAGUCUUCUGUCUUAUCUCCCUUAAUUUGGAAAUAUGAGC